UACGGGGGGGGCAAGCGUUGUUCGGAAUUACUGGGCGUAAAGGGCUCGUAGGUGGCCAACUAAGUCGGACGUGAAAUCCCUCGGCUUAACCGGGGAACUGCGUCCGAUACUGGUUGGCUUGAGUUUGGGAGAGGGAUGCGGAAUUCCAGGUGUAGCGGUGAAAUGCGUAGAUAUCAGGAGGAACACCUAUGGCGAAGGCAGCUCGCUGGGACGGUACUGACGCUGAGACGCGAAAGCGUGGGGAGCGAACAGG
RNAcentral lists this ribosomal RNA (253 nucleotides) under uncultured bacterium. Its description in RNAcentral is "partial 16S ribosomal RNA". It matches the Rfam family "Bacterial small subunit ribosomal RNA", at positions 524 to 776 of the family's 1533-position model. The record is from RNAcentral.